CGUAAUGUAGCUUAACUAAAGCAUCUCGCUUACACCGAGAAAAUGUCCGUGAAAAUCGAACCAUUCCGA
RNAcentral lists this transfer RNA (69 nucleotides) under Incilius melanochlorus (dark green toad). Its description in RNAcentral is "tRNA-Val". It matches the Rfam family "tRNA". From Rfam's summary of the family: Transfer RNA (tRNA) molecules are approximately 80 nucleotides in length. Their secondary structure includes four short double-helical elements and three loops (D, anti-codon, and T loops). The record is from RNAcentral. Lineage: Eukaryota; Metazoa; Chordata; Amphibia; Anura; Bufonidae.